CCCAGGUGCUUGUCACGUGACACGAUUAGCUCGCCCCAUUUGGCAAGAAGCUAAAAUGUCUCUUUUGGGACCUCUUGGCCUCCUCUCAUGACAGCAAUGAUUGGUAAACAUCGGCCUCGUUAGCGACGGCAGACAAAGGUGUGGUCUUCCCCCUCUCCCCCUCUCCCUCCCUCCCCGGUCGCUCCAUGUGGUCCCAGUGUGCAGUAAGCGGAUACAAGCUACAUGUUGGCAGAGCGCGGAGGGGAGUUCCUUUUCUGGAAGGACCUCAUGCAUACACCCUCCCUCCCUCCCACCCUCCCCUCUCUCAACAGAGAUGUGGAAAGCCUCAUUUCAUGUCACGCCUGUGUGAGAGGAGCACACAGAGACGGGAGUGAGGAGUCUUCUCUUUUUCUAUUCAACGCAACUUUCCUUUUACAGGAGACUCCCAGGUAGCCUCAGGUAGACGCCCUUCCUUCAUCAAACAUCCUCCUCUUGUCUCUCUCUCUCCACCCCACCCUGCCAGUGAGGGCGUCGGAGAGCAUCCUCAUCUUUCCAUCACUCUAGCCAUGGUUCUCCAUUGAAGACAGCAGCAGCAGCAGCAGAAGGAGGAAGCGCCUACAUGCUGGAUUAAAAACAACAACAAAAGAAGGGAGAAGAAGAAGAAGUGAGUGGAGGACGGGAACAGCAACAGCAUGAGUGAGGAGGCAAAGGAGAAGGCGGCAGGAACAGGAGCGGGGAAAGGCGCUCAUCGCAAAAAGAAAGGCAAAAAGCAUGUGGAAUGUCACCUGUCACUCAGCAGUAAUCUUUAACCUGCGACUGGUCGGUCUGGUUGUUUUGUCCCCGGGUGAUUGGCUGCAAGAGCGGCGCUCAGUGAGGGGAGGGGCCUGGGGGGG
Molecule: long non-coding RNA, 872 nt
Organism: Nerophis ophidion (straightnose pipefish)
Lineage: Eukaryota; Metazoa; Chordata; Actinopteri; Syngnathiformes; Syngnathidae
Exons: 4
Source: RefSeq, a predicted model, not a curated record